This is an RNA transcript of Cercocebus atys (sooty mangabey), 2494 nucleotides long. It is a transcript of the gene named cytochrome b-c1 complex subunit 7 pseudogene, with no coding region annotated. Lineage: Eukaryota; Metazoa; Chordata; Mammalia; Primates; Cercopithecidae. The record is from RefSeq and is a predicted model, not a curated record. The transcript has a single exon.
CUGUCUUUCUCCUGCCCUCCUUUUACCUGCUUUUUUUUCUCCCGAAGGCAAGCCAUAGAAACUAAAAAUACACUCUAAUCUUCACCCGGCUUUCUGUCUUGGAGCUGGAUGUAAAGAAAUUCUCUGACCUAUCUAGUUUGACUGUGGGUCAUUAGACCCCCAUUUCAGAAAGAGUCCUGUCCCAUACCCAGGAGGAAGGAAUGCUGCACAAAGAAGCCAAGAAGAAUCUGAACAGGCAAGCCUUGCUGGGUUUCUCCACCAAGUCUAUUGGUAUUAGAUCAUACCCUUUAGUCCAGUCACAUUUCUACAUGGCUGUUCAUGUUUCAUUAGUGCCUAUCGAAUGAAGUCUUCAUAAAAAGCACAAGAGGACAAAGUACAACUGAAUUUGUGGAGGAUUGUAGAAAGGUGAAAAAUAACUCAUCCAUAUGCCAGGAGGGUGGCACACCCCAACUCCACAGGAAUGGAAGCUCCUGUACUCAGUAUCCUUCCAGACCUCACUCUAUGUAUCUCUUCAUCUGGCUGUUUAUAUGUAGCCUUUAAAAUACUCUUUAUGAAUAAAGGGGUAAAUGUAAGUAAGUGUUUCCCUGAGUUCUGUGUGUUUUUCUAGCAAAUUAUUUGAGCCUAAAGAGAGGGGUUGCGGGAACCCUAACUUGAAGCAGGUCAGUUAAAAGUUCCAGAGGCCCAGAUUUGAAACUGAUGUCUAAAGUUGAGGCAGUCUCGUGGGACUAAGCCCUCAGUCUGUGGGAUCUGAUACUUUCUGCAGGAAGAUAGCUUCAGAAUUGAAUUGGAUUGGAGAACACUCAGCUGGUGUCCACUACAGAAUUGUUUACUUGCUUGUUGGUGAGAAGAAAUCCCAAUACAUUUGGUCACAAGUUUUCUGUGUUGGUUGUUGUGGUACAAGAGCCAAAGAAAAACUGUUUUUUUCCACAAAAUCAGCGUCAGAAGUGGGGUUGUGAGAAUAUAAUGACAGAAGCUGAGUUUGUUUUUCUACACACAUAAAAGACAAAGAAAGGUCAAGGAAUUGUUCCAUAUUAAAAACUGGAGAGACAUGACAAGUAAAUGCAAUGCAUCAUCUUGGAUUAGCACUUUGACCAAGGAAAGAAAAUAACCAUAAAAGACAUUAUUGGGACAACUGAUAACAUUGGAAUAUGGCGUAGAUUAUAAUAUUGAAACAAUGUCAAAUUUCUUGAUUGUGACACAUUUACUGAGGAUGUAUAAGAGGAAAUCAUCACUCUGAGGAAAUACAUACUGACAUAUUAAGAGGUAAAGGAGAAUGAUAUUUGCAAAUUACUAUCAAAUAGGAGAAGGAGAAGGAGAGGAAGAGAAAAACAGAAUGAUAAGGCAAAUGUGAUAAAAUGGUAAUUGGUGAAUUUGGGUAAAGGGCACUUUGGGAGUUCUUUGUAAUAUUCCCAGUUUUUCAAGUGUGAAAUUAAAUAAAAAUAAAAAAUUUAAAAACAUGAAUACAAAAUUCAAUAAUAACUACAUCAAUAUCAAUAACCACACUUUUUCUAUGUAUUUAAUGAAAGAAAAUGUUUUCUAUUGCCAAAUUCUGUUGGGAUGAGCAGCCAAUGUAUAAUUUUUGUAUCUUGUUAUAAGAAGGAUUAAAAAAAAUUAAAGCAAGUCAAAAUGGCUGGCAAGCAGGCCAUUUCAGCAUCAGGCAAGUGGCUGGAUCGUAUUCAAAAAUGGUAUUACAAUGCUGCAGGAUUCAAUAAACUGAGGUUAAUGCGAGAUGAUACAAUAUAUGAGGAUGAAGACGUAAAACAAGCCAUAAGAAGGCUUCCUGAGAACCUUUAUAAUGACAGGAUGUUUCACAUUAAGAGGGCACUGGACCUGACCAUGAAGCAUCAGAUCUUGCCUACAGAGCAGUGGACCAAAUAUGAAGAGGAAAAUUUCUACCUUGAACUGUAUCUGAAAGAGGUUAUUCGGGAAAGAAAAGAAAGAGAAGAAUGGGCAAAGAAGUAAUCAAGUAGUUGAAGUCUGUGGAUGCAGCUGUUAUGAAGAUGGUCAAACCUGAAACAAACAAUGUUAAGAAUUAUUUGGUCUGCAGAUGUUUUACUUUAAAUAAAUGUCUAUUGUAAUGGCUGGAGUUUUUGAAUUCCAAACCUUAUACUGAAUAACUACUGAAUCCAUUUACUGUUAAAUUUGUUUUCCAAACUUUCAAGAUAUUUUCAGUCGUGUUUAAGUGCUUUCUGGAGCUCAGAGGCCACUUUAUCAGUUUUCCUCACUGGUUAGAUAGCCUAUCAGUUUAUGGAAGGAUAUAACUUCCGUAAGUUACAUCCUUAUGGAAGCUACUAAAUAAAAGAAGGGGGUAUGCAUCCCCUAGUUUGCCAGGAUUCAGAAACAGCCUCUUCACUGCUAUCUGAAUAGAUUUGAUUUUGCAUCCUAUCAUUUAAAAAGAAAUUAGGUAUGCACCCCAACAUAGGUAUACUUAAGUAAUAUAUAUACUCCUGUGCUAACAUGUAGACUAGAAGACAAAAAGUAGACACUAGAAAAA